AGCUAUGUAGCAUAGUGGAAAUGCGACGGGCUCAUAAGACCGUGGUCAUGAUGAUUCCCGGAGAUCGUUGGAUCGAAACCAACCAUAGCUA
Molecule: non-coding RNA, 91 nt
Organism: Echria macrotheca
Lineage: Eukaryota; Fungi; Ascomycota; Sordariomycetes; Sordariales; Schizotheciaceae
Source: the annotation of a GenBank genome assembly